GGCAAAACAAACAAGCACACACAAAAGAAGAUGUGACUGAGACCUUGUGUGGCUCAGAAGGCUGAAAACAUGUACCAUUUGAUCCUUUCCUGAGUUUGCUGACCUCUGCUUUAAGAUUAAGAGAAUGAGCCUUGGAAGGGUUGAUUUACUUGAAUUCAAGCCAAAGUUUUUCUAGCUCCAAAACUCAAGGCUUUUCAUCAAAGAAACCAAAAAUACUUGACUGACUUGAACUACAGAACAAGACAAAUGCAUAUGGUCUUAUGUGUACUCGGGGAUAGAGAUUGGGUGCAGUAUCCUGGAGGAAGGCCAUGAAGGAAGCCACGGAG
Molecule: long non-coding RNA, 326 nt
Organism: Myotis myotis
Lineage: Eukaryota; Metazoa; Chordata; Mammalia; Chiroptera; Vespertilionidae
Exons: 3
Source: RefSeq, a predicted model, not a curated record